This 948-nucleotide ribosomal RNA is filed under the name Mycolicibacterium tusciae. RNAcentral describes it as "bacterial SSU rRNA". It matches the Rfam family "Bacterial small subunit ribosomal RNA", at positions 73 to 1031 of the family's 1533-position model. The record is from RNAcentral. Lineage: Bacteria; Bacillati; Actinomycetota; Actinomycetes; Mycobacteriales; Mycobacteriaceae.
GGCCCUUUCGGGGGUACUCGAGUGGCGAACGGGUGAGUAACACGUGGGUGAUCUGCCCUGCACUUUGGGAUAAGCCUGGGAAACUGGGUCUAAUACCGGAUAUACCUCAUGGACUGCAUGGUUUGUGAGGGAAAGCUUUUGCGGUGUGGGAUGGGCCCGCGGCCUAUCAGCUUGUUGGUGGGGUGAUGGCCUACCAAGGCGACGACGGGUAGCCGGCCUGAGAGGGUGACCGGCCACACUGGGACUGAGAUACGGCCCAGACUCCUACGGGAGGCAGCAGUGGGGAAUAUUGCACAAUGGGCGCAAGCCUGAUGCAGCGACGCCGCGUGAGGGAUGACGGCCUUCGGGUUGUAAACCUCUUUCAGCAGGGACGAAGCGCAGGUGACGGUACCUGUAGAAGAAGGACCGGCCAACUACGUGCCAGCAGCCGCGGUAAUACGUAGGGUCCGAGCGUUGUCCGGAAUUACUGGGCGUAAAGAGCUCGUAGGUGGUUUGUCGCGUUGUUCGUGAAAACUCACAGCUCAACUGUGGGCGUGCGGGCGAUACGGGCAGACUUGAGUACUGCAGGGGAGACUGGAAUUCCUGGUGUAGCGGUGGAAUGCGCAGAUAUCAGGAGGAACACCGGUGGCGAAGGCGGGUCUCUGGGCAGUAACUGACGCUGAGGAGCGAAAGCGUGGGGAGCGAACAGGAUUAGAUACCCUGGUAGUCCACGCCGUAAACGGUGGGUACUAGGUGUGGGUUUCUUCCUUGGGAUCCGUGCCGUAGCUAACGCAUUAAGUACCCCGCCUGGGGAGUACGGCCGCAAGGCUAAAACUCAAAGAAAUUGACGGGGGCCCGCACAAGCGGCGGAGCAUGUGGAUUUAUUUCGAUGCAACGCGAAGAAUCUUACCUGGGUUUGACAUGCACAAGGACGCUGGUAGAGAUAUCAGCUUCUCUUGUGGGCCUGUG